This 253-nucleotide unclassified non-coding RNA is filed under the name uncultured Alphaproteobacteria bacterium. RNAcentral's name for it is "contains 16S-23S intergenic spacer region". It matches the Rfam family "Bacterial small subunit ribosomal RNA", at positions 524 to 776 of the family's 1533-position model. Lineage: Bacteria; Pseudomonadati; Pseudomonadota; Alphaproteobacteria. The record is from RNAcentral.
UACGAAGGGGGCUAGCGUUGUUCGGAAUCACUGGGCGUAAAGCGCACGUAGGCGGACUUUUAAGUCAGGGGUGAAAUCCCGGGGCUCAACCCCGGAACUGCCUUUGAUACUGGAAGUCUUGAGUCCGAGAGAGGUGAGUGGAACUCCGAGUGUAGAGGUGAAAUUCGUAGAUAUUCGGAAGAACACCAGUGGCGAAGGCGGCUCACUGGCUAGAUACUGACGCUGAGGUGCGAAGGUGUGGGGAGCAAACAGG